GACGAACGCUGGCGGCGUGCUUAACACAUGCAAGUCGAACGAAGUGGCGAACGGGUGAGUAACGCGUAAUCAACCUGCCCUUCAGAGGGGGACAACAGUUGAAAACGAAUGCUAAAACCGCAUACUGAAGGAGGGGCGUGCGUCUUAAUAGCUAGGGGGAGGGGUAACGGCCCGCCAAGGCGAUGAGCAGUAGCCGGGCUUAGAGAAUGAACGGCCACAAUGGGACUGAGUACCGGCCCAGGAUGCCUCGGGAGGCAGCAGGGGGGAAUCUUCCGCAAUGGACGAAAGUCUGACGGAGCAACGCCGCGUGAGUGAUGAGGGCCUUCGGGAUGGAAAGCUAUGUUAAUCGGGACGCGGUACCUGAAUAGAAAGCCACGGCUAACUACGUGCCAGCAGCCGCGGUAAUAC
RNAcentral lists this ribosomal RNA (408 nucleotides) under uncultured bacterium. RNAcentral describes it as "partial 16S ribosomal RNA". It matches the Rfam family "Bacterial small subunit ribosomal RNA", at positions 28 to 526 of the family's 1533-position model. The record is from RNAcentral.